GAGUGAAGAGGAAAGAGCUCAAAGUUGGAAACUGUUUGGCUUAGCUAAACCGUAUUGUAAACUGUAGAAACAUUUUCCUGGCACACCAGAUUAAUAAGUCCUUUGGAACAAGGCAUCAUGGAGGGUGAGAAUCCCGUCUUUGAUCUGAGUAGUUGUCUUUUGUGAUAUGUUUUCAAAGAGUCAGGUUGUUUGGGAAUGCAGCCUAAAUUGGGUGGUAAAUCUCACCUAAAGCUAAAUAUUUGCGAGAGACCGAUAGCGAACAAGUACCGUGAGGGAAAGAUGAAAAGAACUUUGAAAAGAGAGUUAAACAGUAUGUGAAAUUGUUAAAAGGGAACCGUUUGGAGCCAGACUGGUUUGACUGUAAUCAACCUAGAAUUCGUUUUGGGUGCACUUGCAGUCUAUACCUGCCAACAACAGUUUGAUUUGGAGGAAAAAAUUAGUAGGAAUGUGGCCUCUCGAGGUGUUAUAGCCUACUAUCAUACUCUGGAUUGGACUGAGGAACGCAGCGAAUGCCUUUAGGCGAGAUUGCUGGGUGCUUUCGCUAAUAAAUGUUAGAAUUUCUGCUUCGGGUGGUGCUAAUGUUUAAAGGAGGAACACAUCUAGUAUAUUUUUUAUUC
RNAcentral lists this ribosomal RNA (617 nucleotides) under Mucor velutinosus. RNAcentral's name for it is "eukaryotic LSU rRNA". It matches the Rfam family "Eukaryotic large subunit ribosomal RNA", at positions 91 to 619 of the family's 3401-position model. Lineage: Eukaryota; Fungi; Mucoromycota; Mucoromycetes; Mucorales; Mucoraceae. The record is from RNAcentral.